UAGCUAAUCCUGGUCGGACAUCAGGAGGUUAGUGCAAUGGCAUAAGCUAGCUUGACUGCGAGCGUGACGGCGCGAGCAGGUGCGAAAGCAGGUCAUAGUGAUCCGGUGGUUCUGAAUGGAAGGGCCAUCGCUCAACGGAUAAAAGGUACUCCGGGGAUAACAGGCUGAUACCGCCCAAGAGUUCAUAUCGACGGCGGUGUUUGGCACCUCGAUGUCGGCUCAUCACAUCCUGGGGCUGAAGUAGGUCCCAAGGGUAUGGCUGUUCGCCAUUUAAAGUGGUACGCGAGCUGGGUUUAGAACGUCGUGAGACAGUUCGGUCCCUAUCUGCCGUGGGCGCUGGAGAAUUGAGGGGGGCUGCUCCUAGUACGAGAGGACCGGAGUGGACGCAUCACUGGUGUUCGGGUUGUCAUGCCAAUGGCACUGCCCGGUAGCUAAAUGCGGAAGAGAUAAGUGCUGAAAGCAUCUAAGCACGAAACUUGCCCCGA
Molecule: ribosomal RNA, 485 nt
Filed under: Klebsiella pneumoniae
Lineage: Bacteria; Pseudomonadati; Pseudomonadota; Gammaproteobacteria; Enterobacterales; Enterobacteriaceae
Description: partial 23S ribosomal RNA
Rfam family: Bacterial large subunit ribosomal RNA
Source: RNAcentral